UACGAAUGGGGCAAGCGUUGUUCGGAAUCACUGGGCUUAAAGCGUACGCAGGCGGAAUGGAAAGUCAGAAGUGAAAUCCCCGGGCUUAACCCGGGAAUUGCUUUUGAAACUCCCAUUCUAGAAUCCCGGAGAGGUUGGCGGAAUUCCGAGUGUAGAGGUGAAAUUCGCAGAUAUUCGGAGGAACACCAGUGGCGAAGGCGGCCAACUGGACGGGUAUUGACGCUGAGGUACGAAAGCGUGGGGAGCAAACAGG
Molecule: unclassified non-coding RNA, 253 nt
Filed under: Alphaproteobacteria bacterium
Lineage: Bacteria; Pseudomonadati; Pseudomonadota; Alphaproteobacteria
Description: contains 16S-23S intergenic spacer region
Rfam family: Bacterial small subunit ribosomal RNA
Source: RNAcentral